RNAcentral lists this ribosomal RNA (434 nucleotides) under uncultured Ruminococcus sp. Its description in RNAcentral is "bacterial SSU rRNA". It matches the Rfam family "Bacterial small subunit ribosomal RNA", at positions 341 to 792 of the family's 1533-position model. Lineage: Bacteria; Bacillati; Bacillota; Clostridia; Eubacteriales; Oscillospiraceae. The record is from RNAcentral.
ACGGGAGGCAGCAGUGGGGAAUAUUGCACAAUGGGGGAAACCCUGAUGCAGCGAUGCCGCGUGGAGGAAGAAGGUUUUCGGAUUGUAAACUCCUGUCUUAAAGGACGAUAAUGACGGUACUUUAGGAGGAAGCUCCGGCUAACUACGUGCCAGCAGCCGCGGUAAUACGUAGGGAGCGAGCGUUGUCCGGAAUUACUGGGUGUAAAGGGAGCGUAGGCGGGAUUGCAAGUCAGAUGUGAAAUACAGGGGCUCAGCCUCUGGGCUGCAUUUGAAACUGUAGUUCUUGAGUGAAGUAGAGGUAAGCGGAAUUCCUGGUGUAGCGGUGAAAUGCGUAGAUAUCAGGAGGAACACCGGUGGCGAAGGCGGCUUACUGGGCUUUUACUGACGCUGAGGCUCGAAAGCGUGGGGAGCAAACAGGAUUAGAUACCCUGGUA